CCCAGGAGCCCUCCGGCUUCCGGGUCGUGGCCAUCGAGCACCUCCAGCUCCACGGCGAAGGGCGUCUGUACGUCCCGCUUCACCAGCCGCAGCAAGGGCUUCUCGGGCUCUAAAGCCCAGAGGAGCCCCAUGGGCUCGAGGCCCGUGAAGCUGCCGCCCAGCGCGGGCGCGCGCUCGAGGUCCAGCUGGCCGUGGGCGUCGGCGCAGUAGCGCGCGUGGGCUCGGAAGAGCGCGUCCUUCUCGUCGCGCAGGGACGCGCGCAGCGUGACCGGCUGCCCCGGGGCCAGUCCGCGCACGGCGAUGCGCACGGACUCGUCCCAGCGGCAGCGGCCCGCAGGCUCCAGCGUCACCGUCGCCGCCAUCUGGAUCCCAGCAGAGAAGGGGCGGCCCGGCGGAGUCAACGGUAGGGCCUGGCGUCUCUCCACCUCCCUGGGAGGCAGUCGCAAUUGGAACGUUUGCUUUACUCCCGUUGGGCGGCCGAAGGGACACUUGCUAAACCGCUUUGUGAAGUCUGGAGUUUGUGCAGUCCACUACUGCCUGCCUGGAAGAGUAUCUGCUAAAAUAAGCGUUUUAUGGUAAUUAUUAAUCCUGCGGUCCAAUAUGGAGAGUGUCGAAAUAGAAGUGCAAAGAUUGCUGACAGCUAAAGGAUUGGGAAAGAUACCGGGCAGUUCCAAGAAGUUUGAGUAUUGUUGACUUAAAAAAAAUGCACAGCGUGAAGAGUUGUUUCAACUCAGAGGGUGGAACCAAGAGCUACAGAGAACAACUCACAGAGAGUAAACUGAGCACCAAUGGAAGAAUUGGCAACAUGUUCUCAGCUGGAUUUCAGAAUGGCUAGGGGCCAGUAAGGACACAGGAAGAAGGCAGCCGUCUGUAAGCCAGGAAGAGGCGCCACCAGGAACUGAAUCUGCCAGAACGUUGAUCUUGGACUUCCCAGCCUCCAGAACUGUGAGAAAUAAAUGUCUGUUGUUUAAGCCACCCCAUCUAUGGUAUUUUGUUACAGAAGCCUGAGCUGACUAAGACAUAGUGCUGUUGGAAUAUGUGGCUGAUGUCUUUGUCAGCUUUAGAAAAUUCUCAGCCAUUAUCUCUUCAAAUACACUUACACAACACUUUGUAGCCUUGAUGUCAGAGAAAGUGAUGAUGAUGCCUCUAAGAAUGUCACAGUAU
Long non-coding RNA from Globicephala melas (long-finned pilot whale), 1164 nucleotides. RefSeq lists it as uncharacterized. The record is from RefSeq and is a predicted model, not a curated record. NCBI's taxonomy places the organism in Eukaryota, Metazoa, Chordata, Mammalia, Artiodactyla, Delphinidae.